AUCUACAGGCUUGCUAGCUGAUCACAAACCUUACCAUCUGUCUCACUCAUGGUUCAGUCCUCUUGGGUCUUCAAGACAACCCAGGUGUGAUUCAUAGAGACAGGUUCAGGUUCCACUCAUUCAAGAGUUUGAAGCAAUUGUGAUAUUUGAGGUGAUUUGUAUGAUAUGUCGGCCACAUGAGUCAUCAAUGGAUAAUUGCUCAACGAACACGCGGUCUUGGAUGUAGUAGACGGUGGCAGCACUUGGUGAGCUUUAGUCCACCUACAUCCUAAAAGUAAGCAUAUAUGAUUACAUAUUAGCACCAGCCUUGCACCGUAUAUGAUUACAUAUUAGCACCAGCCUUAGCACCGUAUAUUGUCAUCAACUGUCCCACAAUUAUAAUUGGCAAUCUCAGGGGACCUCUUAUUAAUGUCUACCUCUGGGACCAGGCUGCUAAGGAGUUCUAUAGCAAGUUCAAACCUAAGUCUUCGCCGCUCCGUCAGUAACCACGGUGAACGCUAAAACAUUAUUGGAGGUAAGAAGUUUCCAUGUUUAAUUUGUCAAGAACAUAUGAUUUUAUCAUGUACGACUUUAUUGCAAUUUUUAGUUGGCCAAAUGCUUGAAUUUAAGAUCCAUCUAUGUCUUAAACGUCUCCACAUUUUGGUCAAAAACAACAUUUUUAUCAUGCACGAGCUUUUACCACCUUUACACAGCAAACCAAGUUCCCAUUUUUGUGAUUCUGGCCCGUUGCAAUCAUUUUUUAAUUAACUUUUCCUCAGCUCAAUAUCCUCAAGGUUAUUCUUCGACAAUUAAGUCGCUCCUACCAGACUACUGAACAUGGUGGUCUCUUUUGAUUUUAUCGCAACAGUAGAUGCCUCGACGAGAAGGAGUGGUAUUACAUCUCCUGCAGCACCAUACUAAAGCUAACAGAGGGCCAACUGCAUUUACGUUUCCAAAAAGUGCGGAGACGUCAACGUCACUGGAGUUGCAAUGUACCGUGUCCGUGCUGAGAUCUCCUUCUACGACAAUGGCGAGAAGGCAACUUUUUUGCUCCUUGGUAAUGCUGGUCCUGAGCUAAUUGGGUGGCAGGCGUCAGAGCUUUUUGACAACAACUAUGAGUAC
Molecule: long non-coding RNA, 1101 nt
Organism: Raphanus sativus (radish)
Lineage: Eukaryota; Viridiplantae; Streptophyta; Magnoliopsida; Brassicales; Brassicaceae
Exons: 4
Source: RefSeq, a predicted model, not a curated record